RNAcentral lists this long non-coding RNA (244 nucleotides) under Physcomitrium patens. RNAcentral describes it as "long non-coding RNA (PPAT_LNC003390)". The record is from RNAcentral. Lineage: Eukaryota; Viridiplantae; Streptophyta; Bryopsida; Funariales; Funariaceae.
UGGAGUUCUAGCUCACCUUUCUGGUGUUGUUCUUGUACUCAUCUGUUUAAUCUAGUUCUGUCACUUCUUCUUAAACUUCUUGUUAGAUUUCAAGUCUGUAUUUUGUGUCCGUGACAAUUUGUCGAGACUGUACUAACUUGAGAUAUCAGAGCUAGUUCUUUCUUAGUAGAGUGUGGAUUACCCUUCUACUUGAAGGUAUACUAGCAUUUUUUAGAGGUUGCGGAUUACCCUCCUCUAAGCUGAU